This 472-nucleotide ribosomal RNA is filed under the name Microsporidia sp. RNAcentral describes it as "bacterial SSU rRNA". It matches the Rfam family "Microsporidia small subunit ribosomal RNA", at positions 200 to 696 of the family's 1311-position model. The record is from RNAcentral. Lineage: Eukaryota; Fungi; Microsporidia.
CUACCAAGACAGUGACGGUUGACGGGGAAUCAGGGUUUGAUACCGGAGAGGGAGCCUGAGAGAUAGCUCCCACGUCCAUGGACGGCAGCAGGCGCGAAAAUUGCCCACUCUUUGCAGGAGGCAGUUAUGAGACGUGAGAAUGAAUAUUUUGUAAAGAGGAAUAUGAGAAUUGGAGGGCAAGUUUGGUGCCAGCCGCCGCGGUAAUACCGACUCCAAGAGUGUGUAUGAGAGAUGCUGCAGUUAAAAAGUCCGUAGUCGUAGAAAUGGAAAUAGGGAUGCGAGGUCUCUGUAGUUAGUUUUGGAAAAACCGAUGGGGAACAUAGUAUACCAGGGCGAGAGAUGAAAUGCCAAGACCCCUGGUGGACUGAGCGGGGCGAAAGCGAUGUUCUUGUAGGUACUUGAUGAUCAAGGACGAAGGCUGGAGUAUCGAAAGUGAUUAGAUACCGCAGUAGUUCCAGCAGUAAAAGAUGCC